RNAcentral lists this ribosomal RNA (928 nucleotides) under Staphylococcus epidermidis. Its description in RNAcentral is "bacterial SSU rRNA". It matches the Rfam family "Bacterial small subunit ribosomal RNA", at positions 61 to 968 of the family's 1533-position model. Lineage: Bacteria; Bacillati; Bacillota; Bacilli; Caryophanales; Staphylococcaceae. The record is from RNAcentral.
GUCGAGCGAACAGACGAGGAGCUUGCUCCUCUGACGUUAGCGGCGGACGGGUGAGUAACACGUGGAUAACCUACCUAUAAGACUGGGAUAACUUCGGGAAACCGGAGCUAAUACCGGAUAAUAUAUUGAACCGCAUGGUUCAAUAGUGAAAGACGGUUUUGCUGUCACUUAUAGAUGGAUCCGCGCCGCAUUAGCUAGUUGGUAAGGUAACGGCUUACCAAGGCAACGAUGCGUAGCCGACCUGAGAGGGUGAUCGGCCACACUGGAACUGAGACACGGUCCAGACUCCUACGGGAGGCAGCAGUAGGGAAUCUUCCGCAAUGGGCGAAAGCCUGACGGAGCAACGCCGCGUGAGUGAUGAAGGUCUUCGGAUCGUAAAACUCUGUUAUUAGGGAAGAACAAAUGUGUAAGUAACUAUGCACGUCUUGACGGUACCUAAUCAGAAAGCCACGGCUAACUACGUGCCAGCAGCCGCGGUAAUACGUAGGUGGCAAGCGUUAUCCGGAAUUAUUGGGCGUAAAGCGCGCGUAGGCGGUUUUUUAAGUCUGAUGUGAAAGCCCACGGCUCAACCGUGGAGGGUCAUUGGAAACUGGAAAACUUGAGUGCAGAAGAGGAAAGUGGAAUUCCAUGUGUAGCGGUGAAAUGCGCAGAGAUAUGGAGGAACACCAGUGGCGAAGGCGACUUUCUGGUCUGUAACUGACGCUGAUGUGCGAAAGCGUGGGGAUCAAACAGGAUUAGAUACCCUGGUAGUCCACGCCGUAAACGAUGAGUGCUAAGUGUUAGGGGGGUUUCCGCCCCUUAGUGCUGCAGCUAACGCAUUAAGCACUCCGCCUGGGGAGUACGACCGCAAGGUUGAAACUCAAAGGAAUUGACGGGGACCCGCACAAGCGGUGGAGCAUGUGGUUUUAAUUCGAAGCAACGCGAAGAA